Molecule: long non-coding RNA, 914 nt
Organism: Mizuhopecten yessoensis (Yesso scallop)
Lineage: Eukaryota; Metazoa; Mollusca; Bivalvia; Pectinida; Pectinidae
Exons: 5
Source: RefSeq, a predicted model, not a curated record
UCUUUUUAUCUGCUUCAGACAUCGGUAUGUUAUCCAUGACUGUAUUAUAUAUGAUUUCCGUUAAUAAUUGUAAUUGUUCUCUAGUAAGCGUGUUUAUGAUAAUCGUUUGCUGAUGUUGAGGUGCAGAAAGCAUAAAGUCGAGAAAAUAAUUCAUUUUUUUGCUUCAUAGAUGAUUGGAUCCUCUCCGGGCAAUAUCCUAGUGCGAAGUGGGGGAAGUUCUGUCGGACCAUCCACAAUAUUCAACAAUAUUCAACUGUGGACCGUGUGGACUGACGUCGACAAAAAGAUAUCCAUAUCUUUUAGAAACGGCAGACAGAGCUACCUGCUAACUGUAUUGUGGCAGGACAGAUGAUGGGAACCAGACUUGUCUGUGACAUGAUUCAAAAUGAAAACAGCGUUGAUUUCAAAAUAGCCAGGAUACUCAGCAUAAACGAUGCAGCUGAUUGUUUUGGAUAGUGUUCUUCCAAAUGUGACUUCCAGUCUGACGUUUCCUUGUUUUAGUAAGGAACGUACUGAGGGGUGUCAAGUGUUUGGCUCCAGCUUGCAACUUUCUGAGCUUUCACCAUUCGAAGUAGAUUCUGCUUCUCACCGUCGAUUAUGGAUUCUCCAACAAUACCGCAAUGUUCGACCCAGAGAAAACGGCUUAACACAUCGAUGACCAUCAACAAAAAUCGUACACCUGAGUUAUGUUUGGCAAGUGACGUCAUGUCCAAUAAAUCGGUGUCAUAUUGCUCGAACGGUUCUCCAACUUCUACACGUGCACGCUUAAAUGAACGUUUUACGGGUUUUUGCAGACUGUAGUCGUCAAGACUUUGAAUGUAUCGUCUGAUCUUAUAUAAACAUGGAGAGUAAAAUCCUUGUGAUUUUAAUAUUUGAUGUACUUUUGUUGGAUUUAAGAAUGUUCCACCGUUAUU